AUUGAACGCUGGCGACAUGCCUUACACAUGCAAGUCGAACGGCAGCACGGGUGCUUGCCCCUGGUGGCGAGUGGCGAACGGGUGAGUAAUACAUCGGAACAUGUCCUGUAGUGGGGGAUAGCCCGGCGAAAGCCGGAUUAAUACCGCAUACGAUCUACGGAUGAAAGCGGGGGACCUUCGGGCCUCGCGCUAUAGGGUUGGCCGAUGGCUGAUUAGCUAGUUGGUUGGGUAAAGGCCUACCAAGGCGACGAUCAGUAUCUGGUCUGAGAGGACGACCAGCCACACUGGGACUGAGACACGGCCCAGACUCCUACGGGAGGCAGCAGUGGGGAAUUUUGGACAAUGGGCGAAAGCCUGAUCCAGCAAUGCCGCGUGUGUGAAGAAGGCCUUCGGGUUGUAAAGCACUUUUGUCCGGAAAGAAAUCCUUGGCCCUAAUACGGUCGGGGGAUGACGGUACCGGAAGAAUAAGCACCGGCUAACUACGUG
This 486-nucleotide ribosomal RNA is filed under the name uncultured bacterium. RNAcentral's name for it is "partial 16S ribosomal RNA". It matches the Rfam family "Bacterial small subunit ribosomal RNA", at positions 30 to 507 of the family's 1533-position model. The record is from RNAcentral.